UACGUAGGCAGCAAGCGUUGUUCGGAGUUACUGGGCGUAAAGGGUGUGUAGGCGGUUUUCUAAGUCUGGUGUGAAAUCUCCCGGCUCAACUGGGAGGGUGCGCCGAAAACUGGAAGGCUAGAGUGCGGGAUGGGAGAGUGGAAUUCCUGGUGUAGCGGUGAAAUGCGUAGAUAUUGGGAGGAACACCGGUGGCGAAGGCGGCUAUCUGGACCGGUACUGACGCUGAUACGCGAAAGCCAGGGGAGCAAACAGG
Molecule: ribosomal RNA, 253 nt
Filed under: uncultured bacterium
Lineage: Bacteria
Description: partial 16S ribosomal RNA
Rfam family: Bacterial small subunit ribosomal RNA
Source: RNAcentral